This is an RNA transcript of Sciurus carolinensis (gray squirrel), 5777 nucleotides long. It is a transcript of the gene named centromere protein O, with no coding region annotated. The transcript is spliced from 10 exons. NCBI's taxonomy places the organism in Eukaryota, Metazoa, Chordata, Mammalia, Rodentia, Sciuridae. The record is from RefSeq and is a predicted model, not a curated record.
GGGGCCUCACCUCGAGAACCACCUUACGCAUGCGCCCCAGGUCCCCGAGGUAAGCCGAGGUGUGCGGGUGGUCGCGGUGAAGGUGCAAGGCUGCAGUGGCUGCAUGACAAGCCUGGGCUACCAAUGCGCCCGCCGGCCAGGAGAACGGAGCCUGCGAUAGAUCUUUUCGUAACACCAAGUAUUGUACCAGGAUCUGCGGCUCCGCCCCAGAAGACGCCAUCUUUCUGACAACCUGAAAGGCCAGGCCUGCUCCCCGGUGCAUCCUGGGAUUAGGGAGGGGCCCUGAGCGCUGCCAUGUUUUUGUACGGCAGGAGCGCAAAGCACGCUGGGACUGACGCUGGUGUUUGAAGGACAUGUAGGUCUCUAGUAGACUUGACAACUUCAUAGGAAGACGGGACCUUGAGGAGGAGAUGGAGCGCGCACACACCAUAUGUCAAGACGGCGUGUCCUCAGGAGGUGUUUUAGCUCACUUGGAAAGAUUAGAGGCUCAAGUGAACAAAUCUCAUAAAAAAUCUGAAGAACUGCAGAGUGCUCAGGCAGAGGAAAGUGCUCUUGAAACGAAGAUUCACCAACUGAGGCACAUUCGGGAUAAACUGAGGGCUGAAGUGAAGCAACGGCAAGCUAGAGCUAAAGCAUCUUCUGCCAACGUAGAACCUGACCAAACAGUGGAGAUCAGUGAGCAAGAUGUUUUGGAAAGAAAACAGGAAAACAUGAAAGCCAUUCUGCAAGCUUAUCAUUUUACAGGGCUCAGUGGAAAAGUAACCAGCCGCGGAGUCUGUGUCUGUAUCAGCACUGCUUUUGAGGGGAACCUACUGGAUUCCUAUUUUGUGGACCUUGUCAUACAGAAGCCGCUCCAAAUCCAUCACCAUUCCAUUCCAGGCUUCAUUCCUCUUGAAAAAAUUGCUGCAAAAUACUUACAGACUGAUAUUCAGCACUUCCUGUUCAGUCUCUGUGAAUACCUAAAUGCUUAUUCUGGGAGGAAGUACCAGGCAGAUCAACUUCAGAGUGACUUCGCAGCCCUUCUCACUGGGCCCUUGCAGAGAAACCCCCUGUGCAACUUGCUGUCAUUUACUUACAAAGUGGAUCUGGGGGAUCGGUCAUUCCCAUUUUGUGCCAGAUUGCUAUAUAAAGACCUCACAAGAACUCUUCCAACUGAUGUCACCGUUACAUAUCAAGGAAUGGAAACAUUGUCCACUGCAUGGGAAAAGCAGAGAGCAUCUCAUGAAACAUUGUUCUGUACAGUGCCACUGCAUCGAGUGUUUGCUUCAUUUUCAAGAGAAGGAGAAAAGCUGGAUUUGAGUCUGGCCUCCUAAAAUAAUGUUUCCAUUGGGAGCACAUCUGAAAAAUAACCCCCCUCCCCCUACCAGGUGAAAGGAAAUAUUGCACUUUCUGCUCUCAUGACUAAGGUGAUUGGGGGUUCCAGAAGAACCUUUCAAGAUUACCAGGCACAUCAGGACAAGGACCAUUUAACCUAACUGGGACCCUGCGGAGACAAUCAGGUCCCACUGGAGCUCUCUUCACAACGAAAGCACUGCCGUCAGGUUCCAACCAGGAGUGGAGCAUUCUCCAGCAGUGUCUAGCUCUGCCACGCUCUACUCUUUUUAGCAAAGCUCCUGUACCUGUGCUCCCAGCCCGGGGCAAAGGCAGCUUCGUUCCACCUCUGCUGAAUUCUUACUCACAGUGGCCAUGGCCUCUCUGGGGGAAGAAGGGCUGAGUUGUAACUGGGGCUCUGGAAGGACUGUUCAGUACUACGCCUAAGACCCCCUACACUGGGGAAGCUACAGGCACACUGAAGAAUAGUAUGGCCACCCUCAGAGCUGACAUAUCCACAAACAAAUGAAGGCUUAAGAUUUUUAAACCUAAAGUCUACGGGAGUGUGCACUUCAACAAUUCAGGAACAUCAAGAUGUGGUCAUUGCCCUUUCUGAAGGCCUUUCUUCAGUUCCAAAAAGAAAAAAACCUCUCCCUUCCCAUGUGGGCCGUUGUGGGAUCAGAGGCCAUUCAGGAGUUGUCCACCACCUGAUGGGGCAGUGUAACAGAGGAGCCAUUGGGGAAGGCAGCUGGCUUAUCCUUCCCCUUUAAGAAAAAGGUCAGAAGCUCGCCCUUCCCUUUCACAAAGAUGGGACCUCGUCUCACAAAGCGAAAGCCGUACUCUCGGAGGAUGACCUGCGUUUCUUCUACGACCUGCAUGUGAAGGAGAGAGUAAGAGAGCUUAGGGUUAGGGAGGGAGCCUAGACUGUGCUGGGCUGAGGGACUUGGGUGUUUGGGCUGAAAAUGGAUCCACACAGUACUAUAUUUAUGUGACCAUCAGGUCCCCGUCAGUGCCGAACUUCAAUGCUCUACCCCAGACACCCAAGAGGGCCUGAGGUGAGAACCAUGGAACUCAGGGUGACUGGUCCAAAGCCCUUCUCCCUCUCAAAGACAGCCUUAGUCCUCUCUCCCAGUAGGACAGCCUCAGGUCACCCAUGCAGAAGACUGCAGUCUGGGAACUUUAACUCCCUACUCUACUCCCUGGGCUCCCAUUUCAUGGGGCUUUUCUGGCAGACUCAGAUGACAUACCACGAGUGUUGCAGGGGGAGCUGCUUUCAGCACCAGACAUCAGUUCACACCGAAGGGAAAUGGCGUGCAACAUGCUCAGGCAACAUGUUGGUGACCAAGGCUUCGUUCCAGCGUCGCAUCUCAUAGACACGUUCCUUUUGGUCAUGGACUUCAAUCUUCCACAGGAACAGCGUCCUCGCCAGCUUUUCCACCUACAGACACAGACACAGGCAAGGAAAGCAUCUGGCUGCCUGCUCACAGAACCUCCAGCUUCUCUAUGAACUGAGGAGAACAGAAGAUGUUUUGUCUUCUAGCCAUCUGGGCCCUGUGAAGCUUGCUGUUCCUACUGUCCCACCUUUCUAGGAAGUUCUGGCCAUGUUCAGAAAGUAAACAGGAGCUCCUUUGGUGAAACAGGUUUACCUCCCUGGCCCAGAUGGAUACUUGACACUAGCCACAAUGUAAGGAAUGCUUCAGGUGUACAGAAGGCAUGUGUGUCUGCACUCCCUAAACAAAGAGACAUGAAGGAAGGAAACUUGGAAGUGGGAUUUAAAACUGCUUUAAUUCUUGGACUCUUGACUAUGUCACUGACUGGCUGUGGAUGAAAGUCAGUGAAUCUUUCUGAGCCUUAGUACUUUCAUAUGAAACUGUAGAUACUGAUGUUCUUAACUCAGGACUAGAUUCAUGGAACUGGGCUCAGACUCUGAGAGAGAAGAUCUGCAAGGAAACACGUUAGUCUCAGGUUCCCUGGGCAACAGCAGAGGACCCAUUCAUCUGGCUGGAGUAAUCAGUUUAGGAACUUAAAUGCCACUCUGAAUCUAUGUCUGCUUGCAGAGGAAUGGACCAACAGACUGCUUGUGCAGCUAGUACAGAAGCCCUUCUCCACUGGGAACUGAUUUCCCCUUCAACAAGGACAGAGGAGCUCACCAUGUCUACAACGUUUGCCAUAACCAGAAUGAAGAUGGCUAACAUGGCCCAGGUGUUCCUGGCCCAGCGGGUCCGGUCGAUCCAAGUUGAGAAGGCCACAAGCUUCUUAGGAAAGGCCUAGAAGGAAUGGAAUUUCAAGGGUCAUGAGCCUUUGACAGCCCUUUGUCCAGCAGACAUGACUGCUGAUGACUCUGAUUGCUCCCAUACUUUGCCCCUAGGAACCUAAAAAGUGCCUUGCCACUGUGUCACCCAAAAACUGACAGAGUAAGGCCACGCUGAGGAGACAGUGCAGGAGUCUAGCCGAUCUGUCAGUCCUCCAGGUGUGUGUGCAACUCUAUGGCCUCCAGUUGCAGCCCUUGGCAGAACAGAAAUGCUGACCAUCAAGGAGGCUUGGACAACACUGACAGCACUGUUCAUUCUCCGUCUCCAAGAGGACAAAACAGGGCAGGGGACAACUUUCAGGACCAGCCUUCUGCCUAACCAUCUACCCAGCCUUUCCUAGGUCAAUACACCUAAAUCCCUCAGGUUACCUGUCAAGCCAUCUGUCAGAUUUCUAUAAAACACUACUUUUCUCUUGUCAUUCUGAUCAAACACUGCCUAGCACCCCUGUACCUGUAGGAGAAAGUCUUAAUCCCUUUAGUCUGGCUCCUAAAGUUCUUCAUAGUCAAAGCCAACCCACCUUCGAGCUGGGCCUGCAUUGCUUUUCUACCCAGGUUCCCCUUUAUCCAGACUGCCUUACUGGGGUGCUGUCACAUAUAGCACCAUGGCCCAUCGGAGUCCAGCCCAGAGGGUAUGUUCAGCCAACAGUGACGGAUGAAUGAGUAAGGGAGUGAGUGGAUAAAUGCCAGAACCAUCCCAACAAAAGACAAUUAAAAUUUGACAGGAAACAUAGAUCCUUAAUAUGCAGUUUCAUAGGGAGUGCACUCACUUCCAGAAGCUUCCAAGUCCAACAGACAAUGCCUCUUACCCGGGGGAAGAUGGCAGCCAUUGAGCAGAUGGUCAAGAUCAGGAGCAGAAUCUCCCCAACCACAAAGGUCACAUAGUUUGUCAUCAGCCUACAGCAGAGAAAUGAUGAUUAGAAUAGGGUGAGAUUGGGUGAGGAGCUCAAGAGUACAGAGAAAAGCAUGGUACAAGUUAAAUGUGACACCAGAGAAUUGCUGCUGCUGCUGCUGCUGCUACUACUCUACUGAACAAAACGAGAGGCCCUGGGUAGUGCAGUACCAACUGAGUACAGGGCCUGGGAACAUGCCACCUCCCCAGUUGUCCCCUGGACAUUUCCCAGAGAGAGGGGAGAGUCACAGAUACCCUGGACAUAGCCCAAUAAAAACUUGGGAAGGGAUUCUUAGGAAUGAGCGUCUGCCAUGUAACUAUGAUACACAGUUCAGAACUGCUGAGGGUGGCAACGUCUGGCAGAUCCCUUGACUCCUCAGAGCCUCAGUGGACAAGUUCCUUCCACAUCCACUUCAUCCCAUUCACUCUGAGAAAUCUGCUGUCUCUCAAUCCUUCACACCCAUUCCCAUUUCACCCCUUCACAGAGAGUGGAGAGCCUCAGAAACUUCAUGUAGCUAAAUCCAGUGGCCAGUUUGAGGUCAUCUCAUAACUCCUCCUCGAAACAUUCUCACUUGGUUUGCAGGAUCUUUUCACUUUCUGCUGGUUCUUUAUGUCUUCCUACCUCUACACGCAGUUACGCCACCUGACUCGGACUUUGACCCACUUCUCUUUCCACCUACACUCUCCCUUGGUGAUUUCGUCAAGUCUCAUGCUCUCAAUGCGCCCUGUGUGGAGUUGACUCCCAAGUUGGCAUCUCCACCAGUAUCUCCCAGUUCCCAGAUUACAACUCCGCUGCCUAUGGAUACCUAUGUUUGAGAUAUCUGUAUGCAUCUCAAACUUAACAUGGCCAAAACCAAAUUCCUGAUCUUUGCCUGUCCAGUGUUCCUUUUCCUAUGUUGUCCAUCUUGGUUAAUGGCAACUCCAUUCUGCCAGGUGCUGGUCAGCAACCUUGGAGGCAUCAUUCACUGUUUCAUACCUCACAACCAGUGUCAGCAAAUGCUGCCAGCAUUGUCUCCAAAAUAUACCUAGUAGCCAUCUCUCCAUCAGUAAAAGUCAUCCUCUAACUUCAGCCUGGCCUAAGGUGUCAUCACAUGGCUGAGAGGCUUGCUUGGCCACCACUGCCCUCCCGUACCAGGGGUCGAUGAGUAUCUCGACCAGGGCAGUGCAGAGGAGGACCACGCAGGAGCAGCUGAAGGCAGCCCCACUCUGCUUUUCCUUCUCCACAGAGUAGCGGAUUUCCAUCUCCGGGUCCAUGAACCGCAUGGA